GAUCCUGGCUCAGGAUGAACGCUAGCUACAGGCUUAACACAUGCAAGUCGAGGGGCAGCAUGAACUUAGCUUGCUAAGUUUGAUGGCGACCGGCGCACGGGUGAGUAACACGUAUCCAACCUGCCAAUGACUCGGGGAUAGCCUUUCGAAAGAAAGAUUAAUACCCGAUGGCAUAGUUCUUCCGCAUGGUGGAACUAUUAAAGGAUUUUCGGUCAUCGAUGGGGAUGCGUUCCAUUAGGUUG
RNAcentral lists this ribosomal RNA (242 nucleotides) under uncultured bacterium. Its description in RNAcentral is "partial 16S ribosomal RNA". It matches the Rfam family "Bacterial small subunit ribosomal RNA", at positions 15 to 248 of the family's 1533-position model. The record is from RNAcentral.